Molecule: ribosomal RNA, 728 nt
Filed under: Idomacromia proavita
Lineage: Eukaryota; Metazoa; Arthropoda; Insecta; Odonata; Corduliidae
Description: partial 16S ribosomal RNA
Source: RNAcentral
AAUUAUUAUCUUACUGUUUAUAAAAGUGUUAUUUUUAAUAGAAAUAUCUUGGAUUUUAGUAUAUUAAAGAAUUAAUUUUAUUUGUUUUAGUUGAUUAGUACUGUGAAGGAAGGAUGAAAUAAUGGAAUUAUUUAUUUUAUUUAAAGUAUAUUUAAUUUAUAGUACCUUUUGUAUCAGGGUUAAUUAAAAUUAAUAAAGUAUUUUUAUAUUCUCGAUUUUAAAAGAGCUAAUUUAUUAUUUUAGUUAAUGUAACAUAAUUAUUAAUAAUAUAAUUUAGGAGGGAUAACCUAAUCGUUUUUAAUGGUAUCUAGUUUUUUAAGAAAUAAAUUUAAUUUAGUUUUAAUAUUUAAAUUAAUUAUUUUUUAUUAAUUUAUUUAUUAGAUUAAAUAUUAUAGGGGAUAAGCUCUAUAAUUUUCUAUAAGUAUUUAUUUGAAUCAUUUUAUGUAGGAUUAAGAAUUUCCAUCAUUGUAGAUUAUAUUAUAAUUUAUAUUGAUGAAUAAUGGAUUUUUUUUACUUUAGUAUUAUUAUUAAAAUAAUUUGUGUAACAAGAAUUUUUUUGAAAUAAUGAUUAAAUUAGUAUAGUUUUAUGUAUAUAAUAUAUUUAUUGAUAUAAUAAAAUAAGGAACUCGGCAAAUAUUAUACUCGCCUGUUUAACAAAAACAUGUCCUCUUGAAGUGUAAAAUAGGAGGUUUGACCUGCCCAGUGAGUAGAUAUUUUAACGGCCGCGG